UCUCGCCACGUCCUGUUUUAUUUUGUUAAACUUCCUGUCUCUGUCAGCUGUCACUUACCGGUUCCCAGUAUCCACACCUGUCAGUAAUUAUGUAAUCACUCUGUGUAUUUAGCCACCACCUAUUCCUAUAGUCCUUUGCCAGAUUGUUGAGUUUCUUAGUUCCCUAGUGUUUUUGAUCUUGAUUUCCUUGACCGUCGUUUCCUGCCUGAACCUGGACUAACCAACUGACCUCUGACACGUUCUGUGGUCCUGGAGAGUCCGGUCCAUCAGGUGCUGGAGAGGCAACCUGUGACUCUGCUCUGCAGAAGCAGGUUUGUGAAGGACGGCUCCUGGUUGAAGUAGAGGCUCCUUAAACCUGAUGAAGGCCUCUACAGGUGCAGCAUCCAUGACUCUGGAGAAUCAGCACAGAGCUGCUCGUCAGUCAGAGCCACGGAGCCGGUGACGGGUCAGAAGGGUCAAUGUUCAUCAGGACGUCCCAUCAGUCACUGAGUCCGUCACACACAGACUGUCUUACGUGAUGUGUUACUCACUCAGUGACUGUGGUUUCACGACAGUGAUGGUGUUUCUGCUGCUGGACUGAAUAACUGUGGGAAACUGAAGCUGCACUGGAAUAAAUGACACAUGUUGGACGGGUCCAAACGAUAAUAACCAUCUGUUAUGGCUGUUGUUUACUUUGGUUGUACAGGAAAAUAUAUUUCUCUAUUCAUCUUCUGUUGUAGACGUCGUAUAGCGCCGUCCCAGCGGUCUUCUACCAGGACGACGUCUUCAUCGGCACCAGCUCCACAGGAACCCUGUCUCUGCUCAGGGUCUCUAAGACCCAUGAAGGCCUGUACAGGUGUCAGGUGUCUGGAGCUGGACGGUCAGCGGGCGGAGGCUGCUUGUCACAGAGACCCGGUUCUGCUCAGACCGCCUCUAUCGUCUCCACCUGGUCAGAGCAGCUUCCACCGUCGUCAUGGUGAUUCUGCAGCUGCUGCUGCUGCUGCGGCUUCACUGUGGCAAACGCAACAGAAAACAGCUAAAUACAAACACUGGAGCUCAUUGAUACGAGUGUUAAAAUACACAGUGAGCGUCGUCUCCUCUGGUCAGCGAUUAUUGAGAAACACAAACCACACGACGCCACUAACACAUGCAUUAGAGUCUGUGAACGCAUCACAUGAUGAUCAACUGAUGCUUCUUAACAUAAUAAGCUUUUUAUUUUUCAUGUGCAUCAAUAAAAGGUUAAAGUCA
Long non-coding RNA from Betta splendens (Siamese fighting fish), 1227 nucleotides. RefSeq lists it as uncharacterized. The transcript is spliced from 5 exons. Lineage: Eukaryota; Metazoa; Chordata; Actinopteri; Anabantiformes; Osphronemidae. The record is from RefSeq and is a predicted model, not a curated record.